AGCAGCCGCGGUAAUUCCAGCUCCAAUAGCGUAUAUUAAAGUUGCUGCAGUUAAAAAGCUCGUAGUUGAAUUUCGGGACCAUCAUGUCGGUCGUGCCUCGGUACGUACUGGCAUUGUUGGUUUCUCCCUUCUGACGAACCAUGAUGUCAUUAAUUUGGUGUGGCGGGAAAUCAGGACUGUUACUUUGAAAAAUUAGAGUGUUUAAAGCAGGCUCGCGCUUGAAUACAUUAGCAUGGAAUAAUGAAAUAGGACGUUCGAUCCUAUUUUGUUGGUUUCUAGGAUUGACGUAAUGAUUAAUAGGGAUAGUUGGGGGCAUUAGUAUUCAAUUGUCAGAGGUGAAAUUCUUGGAUUUAUUGAAGACUAACUACUGCGAAAGCAUUUGCCAAGGAUGUUUUCAUUAAUCAAGAACGAAAGUUAGGGGAUCGAAGACGA
RNAcentral lists this ribosomal RNA (432 nucleotides) under uncultured Glomeromycotina. Its description in RNAcentral is "SSU rRNA". It matches the Rfam family "Eukaryotic small subunit ribosomal RNA", at positions 569 to 1007 of the family's 1831-position model. Lineage: Eukaryota; Fungi; Glomeromycota. The record is from RNAcentral.